AUGGUUCUGUGGUUUGCAGUGCUGUGCUGUCAGCCAAAGAGAGGACCACUGAGACUCCUGAUCACCGACGACAGGGCACACUACCCCAGCACUGUAACCGAACAGCUGUACAGCUAUACAGGGAUCCAAUGGAGAGAGGACUCCCUCACUCACACUGAGGCAAAUGUCAAACACAUGUUCAGCCAACAUGAGAAAGUGACUGUUACACAAAUGGAGUUAAGUGGACACCACCACCACUCAAAACAGUUCCCGGGAGCUUUGCUCAGAGCCGCUGCUGUCGCCAGAACGUUUAACUUUGGUAUGUCCAGUGUCAAUGCAGCGAACCAGACUGUAAACUCCUUGAAACCUACUGUCUUCCAGAAGGACUUUACCCAGACUCAGCUGUUUACAGUGUUAACAACAGACAUGCUGUGGGAGGUUAGCUCCUCCAAUGACGGCCUAACCACGAGUAAAACCCCACCAUACAUGAUACCCUUAAGCCUUGUGUUAACUGGAGUGGCUUAUGCCAUCACCAUGCCAGCUGACCUGCUACAAAUACACCUGGCCAACUCUCUGGAUAGUGCCUUCCUACGGCACGUCAACCCCAAACAGAGAGAAGUGAAUGUGCUCCUGAACCUACUCAUCAGCGAGUCAAGCCAAGUCUACAGACCUAAAGACAUUGUCAGUGUCAGGAUGUGGAAAAGCAACACCCACACCAAGACACACAUUCCAGAUGUGGUGGCCUACCACGACAGUGACACACAGCUGUACCUGGCCCCAAACAUGCACAUGUGUACUUUGACCAAAGACAUUCAUUAUCUCUGCCUUAGCAAACCCUUCCUCAGACACAACGCUGAAGGAAUCUGCGGUUUGCAACCCCGGGUCAGCAAUACACGCUUCCCUGCUGAAGCCAAGCCUCUUACACAAGUCACAGAAACGCAAGCAGAGGUUGUGGGCAACAGAUGGCCCGUCAACACUCCUGUGCGCUCAGCUACACUGACCUACGACCAGCAUGACACCGCCACCCGUCAGUACUUGACCAACCACCCAACACAUUGA
Molecule: long non-coding RNA, 1038 nt
Filed under: Carassius auratus (goldfish)
Lineage: Eukaryota; Metazoa; Chordata; Actinopteri; Cypriniformes; Cyprinidae
Description: lncRNA (ENSCARG00000008646.1)
Source: RNAcentral